CUUAAUCAUUGCAUACCCUUUCAAUUGUCCAUUUUAUUUUCCAUCAUUAAUACUAACGUGAGGAAAGGUAUUGGAAUUGUGCAAAUCUUCUUGGUUACAGCAAAACCAAUUCAACACUUUUUCAAUUUUUACACGUUUCUUCAUUCCAAUACACACAUUUUUCAUCUCUUUCCCUCUCCCUCUCUCUCUCUCUCUCACAGACAAAACUUAACCCUUCUUUCUUUCUUUCUUUCUUCCAUUUUCACUCCUCUCUCUUUUUCCUUCAAACCCUUGAACCACCGCCUGUUUACGGCCACCACACAUCCGCCAACACUGUCACUCCGCUGCGCGGGACCAAACAACAACCACCACUUUCAGAUUAUACGCGAUUAUUUCUCUUUUCCUUUCACUCUAUUGAUUUCAGGGUUUGUGCUUCUAAUCCUCAUUGUUUUGAUUUUCGAUUUUAGGUUUUGCCAUCAAAAAACAUGUCUUAUUGCUUAUUUCUGACCACUGUGAAUCGUAUCCCUUGCAAGCUUAUUAUAAGAGUAUUUGAAAGAAGAAAACACUCAGAUCCUGCAACAACAAACAAAUUACAUGAGUUUCAAUUUUUCAAUCUCUUCUUAUUGUUGAUUUAAGGAUUGCAAUCAUGGUGUUUGGAACAAACUUCAUAGGUAAAGCAAACUGGAAGCCCUUACUUUCGGUCAACAAAAUGAUGCAAACACUCUAACAUUUUCUCAAUAUGAUGCAAUUGUUGCUGAACCUGAACAAGAACCAAAAUCAUAUGGAAACUCACCACUUCCCUUAGCUGUAGAUAGAACAAGAAGAAAAGAUCCUUUAGAUGGCUUCAUUGUAUACACUAAUGAAUGGAAUAUAAGUGACCACCAUUAUUGUGUUGGGAUUUGAAGAAAAUGUUGUCAGGACCAAUUGGAUUACAUAAUCAAGAUCAAAAGUUGUUUUACAAAGACAAAUAAAGAGAUUCAAAGGCUUUUUUUUGACAUAGUUGGUGUAAAGAGAUUCCAAUUAAAUUAAGCUUGAUGCGACUAUUGACAAUAUAUUUACCACUUGAAGGACAUCUUGCAGAAUGUAGUUUGUUGCUGUUAGUUAAAUCCUUUCCCUUUAUCAAAGUACACAAAUAUUUGGAAAAGUAAGCUGAAGAUGGUUUAACUAUAUUAAAAAUAAUAUAUGCGGUUGGUUUACACUAUAAACUA
This is a long non-coding RNA of Vicia villosa (hairy vetch), 1187 nucleotides long. RefSeq lists it as uncharacterized. The record is from RefSeq and is a predicted model, not a curated record. The transcript is spliced from 5 exons. Lineage: Eukaryota; Viridiplantae; Streptophyta; Magnoliopsida; Fabales; Fabaceae.